Non-coding RNA from Merluccius polli (Benguela hake), 75 nucleotides. The record is from the annotation of a GenBank genome assembly. NCBI's taxonomy places the organism in Eukaryota, Metazoa, Chordata, Actinopteri, Gadiformes, Merlucciidae.
CAUGGCCUUUAAGGCGUUGGACUCGAAAUCCAAUGGGGUAUCCCCGCGCAGGUUCGAAUCUUGCUCACAGCGUGA